UACGAAGGGGGCUAGCGUUGCUCGGAAUUACUGGGCGUAAAGCGUGCGUAGGCGGUUUGUUAAGUCUGCUGUGAAAUCCCCGGGCUCAACCUGGGAAUGGCAGUUGAGACUGGCAGGCUGGAGUGUGGCAGAGGGGGGUAGAAUUCCACGUGUAGCAGUGAAAUGCGUAGAGAUGUGGAGGAAUACCGAUGGCGAAGGCAGCACCCUGGGAUAACACUGACGCUCAUGCACGAAAGCGUGGGGAGCAAACAGG
Molecule: ribosomal RNA, 253 nt
Filed under: uncultured bacterium
Lineage: Bacteria
Description: partial 16S ribosomal RNA
Rfam family: Bacterial small subunit ribosomal RNA
Source: RNAcentral